This is a long non-coding RNA of Felis catus (domestic cat), 5531 nucleotides long. RefSeq lists it as uncharacterized. NCBI's taxonomy places the organism in Eukaryota, Metazoa, Chordata, Mammalia, Carnivora, Felidae. The record is from RefSeq and is a predicted model, not a curated record. The transcript is spliced from 2 exons.
UCAUUGGCCAACCCUGGACCACGUGGUCCCUCGUACCAAUCGAUCGAAUUUCUAGUUGCAAUUCUCUGUCUGUCCCUUGGCUCUGGGCAGGAAAGGGGGGGACCGGUGGCGCGGGGUUUAGGGAGGGGCUAACGAGGGGGGUCUCUUCGCCCCCUCACUCUCCUUCUUCGCCUUGUCCCGGCCCUGAGUGGCCGGCCCAGAAGGGGUUGAAAGAAUGUUGUUGGCUGGGACACACCCGGGAGGGCACACACUGGAGGAAGCUAACAGACGUCGCCAGGGACCCAGGGUCCUCUCCUCCCAGUUCCCCGGGUCGAGCCGGUCCCGCUGGCCACUCCCUCUUACAGCGCCCACUCGGCCCGCGGCGGUCCCAGGGCAAGCAGCCUGGCCCCUUGUCCCGGGCGCUUGAAUAUCCUCCCCGGAUCACUGCUUCAGCCCACACUUUGGGGAAGGUGCUUCCCUGGGGCUCGCUCCGGAUCAGGCGCCUGCGCCCUCAGGGGCACCCCGACUGCCAAAUUUGCGCCCCUCCUGGGACUGUUUGAGAGAAGGACAAACUUUUGAACGGAUUAAAAAUCAAGAGGAGUCCGUCUGGGGCAGAGACCCAUCUCCUUAAGAUGAAGUCAGAGGAGUGCUUCUCCCCUCCACCCCCCACCCCCAGCACAGUCUUCCUACUUUCUCCAGCGCUCAAGGGAGGGCAAAGAGAUGAGCCCCUUACCCAGUUCCGGAGCUGAGAUUGCCCCUCAUCUACACACAAGAGAAGUCCUGGGAGGAAGAGAUGGCUCUUCUAAAAGGAGUCAAGUUGCAGAGGGUGGGUUGGGAAGGCGCGACUGAACUUGGGGGUCCCCGGGUUGAGAGUGGGGGGAGUAGGCAAGCCAGGGCGGGGGCUUGCGGCGUGAUCUGGGAAAGCAGGUGAGGGCGGAGGCCGCUGCAGGUGCACUGGCAGGGCGGGGCGGGGUGGGGGGGUAACUCUCAGAGCCCUGUGUUCUUGGAAGGGGAGGCCCGGCCCAAACCGGAUGGUCUCCGUUGCACCGGAGGUUUGUGCGUCCUGCCCUAAAAAACCGGGCAGGCUGCUGAGGGCAAAUUUGAACCAGUUCUUGCAAAGGGCCAGGAGGGGUUGUGCAUCCCAGGAGGGAGAAUUCCCACGCCAGCGCGUGGUGUCCCUGGCCCCUGCCCAGCCCGAACUUCCAGAGGCUGCUUGGCCCUGCUCUGUUAGGAGCUGCAGAAUCGCCCAGGCCUUUGUUUUCGCUGCGCCCGGGGUUUUUCUGCUGGUGAUGCAGCGGCUGGCUGUCCGGCACCUGCUCCUACCCGAGCCCCCGGAAUUGGGCCCUCCUGGCUACGAGGUUUAGGAGGGUCGCAGCCCCGCACUGCCUAGGGACCUGGUCUUGAGAAGGACUAUCCAGGGGCAGACAUGAAGGUGAUUGAUACCCAAACUAAGCCCUUUUCUUUCCUCCCGUUCUGUGGCCCUACCACCUCUCCAGCCCAGAGGACUUGAGUGGAAGGUCUCGGGCUGCCCCAAUCCCAGAGCUGAUAGGGCAGCUGCCUAGGCGCUGGGUGCACCAAGAGGAGGUGCCUGGCUCUGGGCUUUGUCCCCCUCUUGAUGAAUCCAGUCUUGUUUUGCCCCUACCUCCCCAACACUCCCCCUACCUCCUCCCAUAAUCUGCGGGGCUCUCUCUCUUUUACUCUUCCCUUUCUUUUCUUCCUCUUUCUCUUUUUUAUUAGGAUUGAUGGAGAGACAACAAUUUGGCAAGGCUCCUCUAAGCCUGUAGUGGGGAGCUGUGGACUCGGCCCUGACUUCUCAACUAGGGGGAACCGUCCCAUUCCUGGGCCCUUGCAUUUGGCCCCCAAGUUGGGGGGAAGUCGACAAAGAAUGGCUUGAAGGAUGGCUGGCCUGACACAGGACAGAGCCCCAGCUUGGGGAGGGGGCAGUUUUAGGCCAAAUUUCCAUUGCAGAGAGAGGACUUAGAAACAAAGGAAAGAAGGUUGAGGAAACAGCACAAAGGACUAGAAAAUUUGAGAACCACAAAGAUAAAAGACCAGCGAGGGAAGAAAAGAUUCGAAAAAGCCCCAGCGCUGGGGACAGAGGAAGGGCCUCCGGGAGGCUGAGUGGGAGAGAAGUGAAGAUGAAAAAAUUUUGAUAAGAGACAGAACAAAAGGUGCAGGAUUCGCCUGUUUGGUGAGGGGGGAAAGCGAAGGGAAGGGAAAGCAAAGGGGUGAAAGGAGGGCGCUAGAAAGUAAAAGAAAAGGGAAGGAAACAAGAAAGAAAAAAGGAAAAGCAACAGAAGACAGAAAGAGAAAGGGGGGAAAGGGGAGAAGAAAAGAAGGAAGGUGAAGGAAGGGAAGAAUAUAGAGAAAAAACCAGCGAAGGUGGGGCAGAAAGAGAACAAAAGAAGGGGGGGAAUGAGAAAUAAAGAGAGAGAAAGAAAAGGAGGGCCGGAAACCAGCCGAAAGAAAGGGGAUCCUGAUUUGGAGGUGCACAGGGAGGGAAGGAGGAGGGAGAGAGGCCGCGGUGGCCCAGCCAGGGUCUCCCAGGCGCCCGGGCGCCCUACUGGCUUCCCCUGGGGCUACCUGGGCCCUGGCCUCCCACCCCGGCUGCCCAGGACCCCAGUGGUGCCCCGGAGGGAGGUGGGGGUUCAGCCGUCCCCUUGCGCCCAGCUUCUCCCAGGAGAAGCAGCUGACUGAGCUGGAAGAAGGACUUCUUCCUGCAGCCACGCCAGCCUCAAACCCAGCACAGCGGGCCUGGAGGCGCAGCAGGUCAAGAUCUGGUUCCCAAACCAGAACGCGGAGCCGAAGAGGCGGUUUAGAGAUGGGGGGGACCAGGGGCCACACCGCCCUGGCUUGUCUCCUCGCCCCCAGCCCCGAGAGCCUCCACCCUGACCUUGCUGGCAGAGGCUGGCUGCAGACUGACUGCUUUUGUUCCGCCCUGUGACCUUGGGCCUCAGUGUGAUCUUAGGUCAAAUGAGUCCUUUGUGCUGGAGGGUUCUUCUGUAAUUUUGGUUGGCCUGUCUGUAUUUGCGCGGGGGAGAGAGGGGUGCAGAUGAGGCCUGGUCCUCCCCAGCAAGGGCAUGUUCAUUGGUGAGAAGAAAAAUCCUCCUUUGCCAUCCUUCUCUCUCUCCAUGCCCCAGAAAACUUCCUGCCAGGGCACAGGGUUUCUCUACACCAGAAAGGAUUGUGUGAACUUGUAAAGAGCUCGGCAUGAGGUUGUCCAGUGCUGGAGGAACCGGAGAAGGAACCUCAGUUUUGAAAGAGAAUGAGGACGUUUCCUACAGGGGCAAGUGGAGUGGAGCUUUGCAGGAUAUAGCACUGAACUCACACGCACAAAGACGUUAAUUGGCAAAGGGGCUUUAGACUGCGCUGCAGAGGAAUGAACUUGGGGUUAUUGUGUGUCUGUGGCGCGUGGGGCCUACACUCCCACGCCCCGUUCAUUUGCGCCGGGGACAACUGCCCAGUUUGAUUCAGAGGGUCUCUUAAAGCCAAUUAGGUAACUCCUUUGUUUCCCAGGAGUGCAGACGGAACACUGCCAUUGGGCUCUCCUUGCUGCCUUGGCCUCUGCCCGUUUCUGCUUGCCGUUGUUUUCUGCCUCACUGAGGGGUUGGGGGGGAGGGGGACAGGAAAAUAAAAUGUCCCUCCCCACUCCCCUAGUCCUUCCCUGUACCCUACCCCCACCAAACCUUCUAGCUGCUGACGGUAAUGAACUCCCAGGAGUGCAGAGGGGACAGUGGCUGAGAUCAGCCAGAUCUUCCAAGGGCAGCACGAGCCUUGGGGAUGGGCUUGAGGGACCUUCACAUGGCCAGCUGGUGUCCACAGUAAGCCUUGCAGCCAUUCUAGGGCGGGGGCCGGGGGGGGGGUGGGCUCGGUCCAGUGCUUCCCAGCACUGUGCUUCUAGACUUCCUCCCCUUCUCCCAAGCUACUUCUUUCCUUCAUUUCCGCCUCCCCCUCUCUCUCUUGCUCCCUUCCCUCCUCCUUCCUGUUCUUUAGGUUCUCUCUUUCCUUUAUCAUCUAGCCCAGGCUGGGACUCUUGUACUGUCUUUGUGCCCCCUGCCCUGAGGCUUUGCUGUGGGAACUUCAGGCAGGCUAAUAACCUGAGGGCUGCCCUCAGGAGUUCAUGAUGUGGAUGCAGUACUGGGACUGGGAGAUGAGGGGCAAAAUGGGGGGUAAGCUUUGCUAAUCAGGUGCGGGAUGAAUCAACUGGUUUUCUCUAUCAGUUGUGAUUGAUAGAGACCACAUCGCAGUGGCUCAUCCCAGGAAAUCUUCCCCCACCUCACGGAUCUGCUGGCCUGCCCCUGCCCACGGGGGUGGGGUUGCUGGUGUCCCCAAGGCCAUUCUCUCCCAGGGCGAGUGAGGGCCUCCAAGAGCGCCCCUUGCCUCAGUAGAUGGGGGUGCUGGGGGUGGGGGAAGAGAGGUCAGUGAUGCCAGGUCAAAGCCUCAAACUAUUAAAGAAGCAAAGCCUGUUUCCCUAUUCCCGAUGCAUUUUAGGGGUCCUCUUUCCCUUGGAUGGAGAGGCUGCUCCUCUCUUGGCUCUUGGCUGUCUCUCCGAGGAACACACCCCUUGAUUAGCCAGGCCCGCAGCCAUCCCCAUCUGCUCUGCUGAGAAGGGAGGCCACUCAUUCCAGGCCUUGGUGGAAGGGAUACGGACUGCCCAACGCAGCUUCCUUGCCUCAACUGGCCCCUCAGGGAAGGUGGGAACCUCCUUCACUUCGCAGGAUCCGGAAUCUCGGCCGGCAGAGCGGACAGCCGCGCUCUGGAGCCUGACGCCGGAAGAAGUUUCUGCCAUUGCGCUCUCCUUGCUGUCUCAGCCUCUGCCCAUGUCUGCGUGCUGUUGUGUUCUCCCUCACUGAGGGAAAUAAAAUGUCCCUCCCCACUCCCCUAGUCAUUCCCUGUACCCUACCCCCACCAAACCUUCUAGCUGCUGACGGUAAUGAACUCCAGCUUCCAGCCUUGCUCAUAAGCUACUCACAGUGAAUUCAAAUUCUCUUCUGGGCAGGAGGGAGGACAGAUGCUCCUUCCUCGGUCCUCCCUUGCUCAGUGAUCCAUUUUGAAGGCCUUCUGGGGUCAAAGUCAGACCAGAUUGCUUCCAUUGGUAUAAAAUUAGCAUCUUAAAAAAAUCACACCCAGAUUUCUAGCAUCCCAGAAUAGAAGUCUUGGGGCACCUGGCUGGCUCAUUCAGUGGAGCAUGUGAGUCUUGAUCUCAGGGUCGUGAGUUCAAGCCCACAUUGGGCAUAGAAAUUACUUAAAAAAAAAAAAAAAAGGAAUAGAAGGUCUUUACCCAGACCCACACCUCUUCUCUGGCCUUUCAAACCCGUUGAUGAUAUAAAGGCUUGUGGAGGUGGAGGAACAGAAGGGAAAUGAGCAAUUUCCUCCAUCUAAAAGUCAGUCGUUUCAGCUGGUCAUUCUACUGUAUUUAUUUAGUACUUACUAUGUGUAAAGCAUCACCCCUACCUCAGUUUGUCAUGACUGUCGAAAGCAAUUCUUGCCCCUAUAAGGCUUCAGUGUGUGUGUGGACAGAUCUACAAAUAAACAAAUCAAUGGAAAAGAAA